This 590-nucleotide small RNA is filed under the name Pongo abelii (Sumatran orangutan). RNAcentral's name for it is "processed transcript". The record is from RNAcentral. Lineage: Eukaryota; Metazoa; Chordata; Mammalia; Primates; Hominidae.
CCUGCGGACUCCCGGCUCCCGGCGUGGACGCCAUGGUGCUGUGCCCGGUGAUUGGGAAGCUGCUGCACAAGCGCGUGGUGCUGGCCAGCGCCUCCCCACGCCGUCAGGAGAUCCUCAGCAACGCGGGUCUCAGGUUUGAGGUGGUCCCCUCCAAGUUUAAAGAGAAGCUGGACAAAGCAUCCUUCGCCACUCCGUAUGGGUAUGCCAUGGAGACCGCCAAGCAGAAGGCCCUGGAGGUGGCCAACCGGAUGCACCAGGCAAGGGGCCCCUGCCCUUCGGCCCUCAUGAAAAUUCCUUUGCUAUGAUGAGGGGGUUUGCAGGUGUUAAAUAUACGUGAUACAAAUAAACGUAUCUGUUACUAUGUUAUAAUAUUCUCUUGCAAUUGAUAGCAUAGUAUCAUUUAUGAUAUCGAAUUAAUGUAGCUUAUCUAUUACUAUGUAUUAUAAUAUUGCAAUUGAUAUCAUAGUAUCAUUUAUGAUAUAGAAUUUUAAUGUAGCUUAUCUAUUACUAUGCGUUAUAGUAUUCUCUUGCAACUGAUAGCAUAGUAUCAUUUAUGAUGUCGAAUUAACAUAGCUUAUCUAUUACUAUGU